AACGAACGCUGGCGGCAGGCCUAACACAUGCAAGUCGAACGAACCUUUAUGGUGAGUGGCGCACGGGUGCGUAACACGUGGGAAUAUACAUUUCGGUAAGGAAUAACGUAGAGAAAUUUGCGCUAAUACCUUAUAAUGACUCCGGUCCAAAGAUUUACCGCCGAAGGAUUAGCCCGCGUCUGAUUAGGUAGUUGGUAGGGUAAAAGCCUACCAAGCCGACGAUCAGUAGCUGGUCUGAGAGGAUGAUCAGCCACACUGGAACUGAGACACGGUCCAGACUCCUACGGGAGGCAGCAGUGAGGAAUAUUGGACAAUGGGGGAAACCCUGAUCCAGCCAUGCCGCGUGAGUGACGAAGGCCUUAGGGUUGUAAAGCUCUUUCGGAUGCGAAGAUAAUGACGGUAACAUCAGAAGAAGCUCCGGCUAAAUUCGUGCCAGCAGCCGCCGCCG
Molecule: ribosomal RNA, 448 nt
Filed under: uncultured bacterium
Lineage: Bacteria
Description: partial 16S ribosomal RNA
Rfam family: Bacterial small subunit ribosomal RNA
Source: RNAcentral